This 222-nucleotide long non-coding RNA is filed under the name Panax ginseng (ginseng). RNAcentral's name for it is "long non-coding RNA (PGIN_LNC005253)". Lineage: Eukaryota; Viridiplantae; Streptophyta; Magnoliopsida; Apiales; Araliaceae. The record is from RNAcentral.
GUUUUUGAGCGCACACUACGAUCUUUGAGUUGGCUCGGCAAACGUUUGGACCACUCUACGAUUUUCGGAGAGGCCCUUCAAGGCAGACAGACUACGAUCCUCGAUACUCUACGAUUCUGCCUUGGUUUCUACAAACUCUCAAUCAGCUCAACAUACUACGAUUUUGUUGAAGCCUAUCUAGUACAUCUCAAGACAUAGAUCAACCUAACAUCUUUGAUCUCC